Molecule: ribosomal RNA, 504 nt
Filed under: uncultured bacterium
Lineage: Bacteria
Description: bacterial SSU rRNA
Rfam family: Bacterial small subunit ribosomal RNA
Source: RNAcentral
GACGAACGCUGGCGGCGUGCCUAAUACAUGCAAGUCGAGCGGGGAUUAUGCUUGAUCGCUUCGGUGAGACGGCAUAUAUCCUAGCGGCGGACGGGUGAGUAACGCGUGGGUAAUCUACCUCGUAGUUCGGGAUAACAGGCCGAAAGGCUUGCUAAUACCGGAUGAGUUCAUGCUUAUGCAUAUAGGCAUGAAGAAAGGGCUAGCCCGCUAUGAGAUGAGCCCGCGUCCCAUUAGCUUGUUGGUGGGGUAAUGGCCUACCAAGGCAACGAUGGGUAGCCGGCCUGAGAGGGUGUACGGCCACACUGGGACUGAGACACGGCCCAGACUCCUACGGGGGGCAGCAGUAGGGAAUUUUCGGCAAUGGGCGAAAGCCUGACCGAGCGACGCCGCGUGAGGGACGAAGGCCUUCGGGUUGUAAACCUCUGUCUGGGGGAUGAGAACGGACGGUACCCCGGACGGAAGCCCGGCUAACUACGUGCCAGCAGCCGCGGUAAAGUCACGUCG